GCCCGGUUAGCUCAGUCGGUAGUGCACCAGACUCUUAAUCUGGCUGUCGCGGGUUCGAGCCCCGCUUCGCGCU
Molecule: non-coding RNA, 73 nt
Organism: Angiostrongylus costaricensis
Lineage: Eukaryota; Metazoa; Nematoda; Chromadorea; Rhabditida; Metastrongylidae
Source: Rfam